AACGAACGCUGGCGGCAGGCUUAACACAUGCAAGUCGAGCGCAUCCUUCGGGGUGAGCGGCAGACGGGUGAGUAACACGUGGGAAUCUACCCUUUGGUACGGAAUAACGCAGAGAAAUUUGCGCUAAUACCGUAUGUGUCCUCCGGGAGAAAGAUUUAUCGCCAAAGGAUGAGCCCGCGUCGGAUUAGCUAGUUGGUGUGGUAACGGCGCACCAAGGCGACGAUCCGUAGCUGGUCUGAGAGGAUGAUCAGCCACAUUGGGACUGAGACACGGCCCAAACUCCUACGGGAGGCAGCAGUGGGGAAUAUUGGACAAUGGGCGCAAGCCUGAUCCAGCCAUGCCGCGUGAGUGAUGAAGGCCUUAGGGUCGUAAAGCUCUUUCACCCACGACGAUAAUGACGGUAGUGGGAGAAGAAGCCCGGCUAACUUCGUG
This 432-nucleotide ribosomal RNA is filed under the name uncultured bacterium. Its description in RNAcentral is "bacterial SSU rRNA". It matches the Rfam family "Bacterial small subunit ribosomal RNA", at positions 29 to 507 of the family's 1533-position model. The record is from RNAcentral.